UUCGAUUGAGUUGAGAUUGAGAGAAGAAAUAAUUAAGAGAGCGAGAAUGAUGCAUCGAUAACAUUGACAAGCGAAGGUGCAAGGCUUUGUUUAGUAUAGUUUUUUGAAUAAAACUUUUGUAGUAAAGCUUAAAUAGAGCUUUUAAAAAAACAGUUGUUAGAAUGUUUAGUUUUUAAUUAAAAAAACUCUUUUAAACGAUUUAGUUAUAUAAUUCUAAAAAUACUUUUGUAAAAUAAAUUUAUAAACAAAAAUAUAUAAAUUUUCCCCCCCUUCUCUUCUUCCCAAUUAGUCUUAACAAAUUAAUUUUCUCCAGAUUUAUUUCCUUGCAUUUACUUACCCGCCAGUACUUCUAUCUGUUUUCUCUUCACAGGAUGAAGGCAAUUAUUGGAAAAAUAUCGGACAAGGCUAUGUUGUGUUUGACAGGUCUUCUCAAGAGGGUCGAGUUGAUUUAUGUUAAGAGGUGUGAAUGAACUUGAGUUGAUGAGAUUUCUUCUAAAGAAUGGACAGUGCUGCAGAGAAUGAGUUUCAGCUGGGCGGAAGACUUCGAGAAUCGCAGGGAGAUUAUCUCAAGGGUAAUGAAGUUUUCCAGAUCAUCUUCAAGUGUUGCUCUCAAAUUCUUUGAUCCUAAUCGAGGGAAUGUUUUGUUUUUUCAAGAUCUAAUUAAGAUGACAGGCUUGGGAGGAAAAACAUGCGAUAGAAAAUUUGUAAGUUUAUACGUAUUUGUUCGAAGUAACAUUCUUUUGGAUUUGAGGAAACAACGUCAAUUGCAAUGACGGCCUAAUGCUUUAUUUGAAGCACCAACUACCUAAUUAUCUUUUGAAUUGAUAUAUUGCUCAACGAGUCAGUUCUGUCCUAGUUGAUGAAUUUUACUAUUCAU
RNAcentral lists this long non-coding RNA (877 nucleotides) under Citrus sinensis (sweet orange). Its description in RNAcentral is "long non-coding RNA (CSIN_LNC002270)". The record is from RNAcentral. Lineage: Eukaryota; Viridiplantae; Streptophyta; Magnoliopsida; Sapindales; Rutaceae.